This is a long non-coding RNA of Lathyrus oleraceus (garden pea), 203 nucleotides long. RefSeq lists it as uncharacterized. The record is from RefSeq and is a predicted model, not a curated record. NCBI's taxonomy places the organism in Eukaryota, Viridiplantae, Streptophyta, Magnoliopsida, Fabales, Fabaceae. The transcript is spliced from 3 exons.
GAUGCAGAUACUUGUGUCUUGAACCCUAUCCGGAGGAGAAUUUGGAGUUUCUUAAAUCACAGAAUAUUCGUCUAUUUCAAUUUGGAAUUGAGGGGAAAACGGAAGUUUCUUUACCUAUUCUCAGUGAUUCUAUUAUGGAGGCUUUGAAAAUUUUACUUGAUGUGAGAAAUCACCCUGUUUUGAUUCAUUGCAAACGAGGAAAG